This 618-nucleotide ribosomal RNA is filed under the name Vibrio splendidus. RNAcentral describes it as "bacterial SSU rRNA". It matches the Rfam family "Bacterial small subunit ribosomal RNA", at positions 52 to 648 of the family's 1533-position model. Lineage: Bacteria; Pseudomonadati; Pseudomonadota; Gammaproteobacteria; Vibrionales; Vibrionaceae. The record is from RNAcentral.
CACAUGCAAGUCGAGCGGAAACGACUUAUCUGAACCUUCGGGGAACGAUAACGGCGUCGAGCGGCGGACGGGUGAGUAAUGCCUAGGAAAUUGCCUUGAUGUGGGGGAUAACCAUUGGAAACGAUGGCUAAUACCGCAUAAUGCCUACGGGCCAAAGAGGGGGACCUUCGGGCCUCUCGCGUCAAGAUAUGCCUAGGUGGGAUUAGCUAGUUGGUGAGGUAAUGGCUCACCAAGGCGACGAUCCCUAGCUGGUCUGAGAGGAUGAUCAGCCACACUGGAACUGAGACACGGUCCAGACUCCUACGGGAGGCAGCAGUGGGGAAUAUUGCACAAUGGGCGAAAGCCUGAUGCAGCCAUGCCGCGUGUAUGAAGAAGGCCUUCGGGUUGUAAAGUACUUUUCAGUUGUGAGGAAGGGGGUGUCGUUAAUAGCGGCAUCUCUUGACGUUAGCAACAGAAGAAGCACCGGCUAACUCCGUGCCAGCAGCCGCGGUAAUACGGAGGGUGCGAGCGUUAAUCGGAAUUACUGGGCGUAAAGCGCAUGCAGGUGGUUCAUUAAGUCAGAUGUGAAAGCCCGGGGCUCAACCUCGGAACUGCAUUUGAAACUGGUGAACUAGAGUA